GGAAUUGCUAGUAAUCACAGGUCAGCAUACUGUGGUGAAUACGUUCCCGGGCCUUGUACACACCGCCCGUCACACCAUGAGAGUUGGGGAUACCCGAAGCCUGUGAGCUAACUUUAUAAGGAGCAGCAGUCGAAGGUAGAAUCAAUGAUUGGGGUGAAGUCGUAACAAGGUACC
Molecule: ribosomal RNA, 174 nt
Filed under: uncultured bacterium
Lineage: Bacteria
Description: partial 16S ribosomal RNA
Rfam family: Bacterial small subunit ribosomal RNA
Source: RNAcentral